Lingula anatina is the source of this 871-nucleotide long non-coding RNA. NCBI's taxonomy places the organism in Eukaryota, Metazoa, Brachiopoda, Lingulata, Lingulida, Lingulidae. The record is from RefSeq and is a predicted model, not a curated record.
AAAGUCAGAUUUUACUUGACCUAGCUUGGCUGUUUUAAAAAGUGAAAUUUCAAUCCUGCCAUUCCUGCCUAAUAUAUAUAAUGUAAUGUAAAAGUAAGUGAACAUAAAGGGUAUAGUACUCAUAAAGGGUGGGAAACGAGGACAAAUUAAUAUUUUUAAAGAUACAUUUUAUUAUAAAUCAUGCUCAAUCACACUUUAAGCCUAAGGUUUAACAGUCAACUGAUGUUAGAGAAUGCCCUACUCCACCAACCACAGAUUCAACAACUGUGAAUUUCUUUUGUUAACCUGGCACCUAUUAUUAGGUCACUAUUCCUGUAGCUAUUGUUACACCAAUUACAACAACCACCUAUUUGGUGUUAUCAGAUGUGUGGUAUCCUGUCUAAGUCUUUGUUUAUAUGAGACAAAUGCAAGCAGCAAAUGAGUGAAGGCUGUAUACUAUCAAGUCAGUUUAAAUUCAGGAGCAUAGUGGAAGAGUACAGAGUAUAGAAAAAUUGGAUUGAGGAAGUGAUCUUAGAGAGUAGACAACAUACAGAACCUGGCAUGACAAGACUGGAAGGGACACUCUGCUGUGAAUAUCUAUAGUUGGUGGCUCAUCGAAACACUCACAAAGUGUACCAAAAUUCUAGUACCUUUGUGAUAAAGAAGUUACUAGAGAGUUUUUUCAGCCCACAAGAACUGUCAGCAACAGUUUCUUUUGUGAAGGAUUCUCUAGUUGAAAGAGCUGUGCAGAAUGGACGGAGCAGGACAGGAUGAGUAAAGAAGAGAAAUUUGGCAGAAAGAUGUAAAGAAGAGAAAUAUGGACAUGGCUUGGAUUUUGAUGAUUUUGUUCGAUUUUUUAAUUUGAUUAAUAAAGCACAAUAUAUGACUGUAA